GCGGGUGUAGCUCAGUUGGUUAGAGCGCUAGGUUGUGGCCCCAGAGGUCGCCGGUUCAAAUCCGGUCACUCGCCCCA
Molecule: transfer RNA, 77 nt
Filed under: bacterium NHP-B
Lineage: Bacteria
Also listed under: 1 other name
Description: tRNA-His
Rfam family: tRNA
About the family: Transfer RNA (tRNA) molecules are approximately 80 nucleotides in length. Their secondary structure includes four short double-helical elements and three loops (D, anti-codon, and T loops).
Source: RNAcentral